AAAUUGAAGAGUUUGAUCAUGGCUCAGAUUGAACGCUGGCGGCAGGCCUAACACAUGCAAGUCGAGCGGUAGCACAGAGAGCUUGCUCUCGGGUGACGAGCGGCGGACGGGUGAGUAAUGUCUGGGAAACUGCCUGAUGGAGGGGGAUAACUACUGGAAACGGUAGCUAAUACCGCAUAACGUCGCAAGACCAAAGUGGGGGACCUUCGGGCCUCAUGCCAUCAGAUGUGCCCAGAUGGGAUUAGCUAGUAGGUGGGGUAACGGCUCACCUAGGCGACGAUCCCUAGCUGGUCUGAGAGGAUGACCAGCCACACUGGAACUGAGACACGGUCCAGACUCCUACGGGAGGCAGCAGUGGGGAAUAUUGCACAAUGGGCGCAAGCCUGAUGCAGCCAUGCCGCGUGUGUGAAGAAGGCCUUCGGGUUGUAAAGCACUUUCAGCGGGGAGGAAGGCGAUAAGGUUAAUAACCUUGUCGAUUGACGUUACCCGCAGAAGAAGCACCGGCUAACUCCGUGCCAGCAGCCGCGGUAAUACGGAGGGUGCAAGCGUUAAUCGGAAUUACUGGGCGUAAAGCGCACGCAGGCGGUCUGUCAAGUCGGAUGUGAAAUCCCCGGGCUUAACCUGGGAACUGCAUUCGAAACUGGCAGGCUAGAGUCUUGUAGAGGGGGGUAGAAUUCCAGGUGUAGCGGUGAAAUGCGUAGAGAUCUGGAGGAAUACCGGUGGCGAAGGCGGCCCCCUGGACAAAGACUGACGCUCAGGUGCGAAAGCGUGGGGAGCAAACAGGAUUAGAUACCCUGGUAGUCCACGCCGUAAACGAUGUCGAUUUGGAGGUUGUGCCCUUGAGGCGUGGCUUCCGGAGCUAACGCGUUAAAUCGACCGCCUGGGGAGUACGGCCGCAAGGUUAAAACUCAAAUGAAUUGACGGGGGCCCGCACAAGCGGUGGAGCAUGUGGUUUAAUUCGAUGCAACGCGAAGAACCUUACCUGGUCUUGACAUCCACAGAACUUUCCAGAGAUGGAUUGGUGCCUUCGGGAACUGUGAGACAGGUGCUGCAUGGCUGUCGUCAGCUCGUGUUGUGAAAUGUUGGGUUAAGUCCCGCAACGAGCGCAACCCUUAUCCUUUGUUGCCAGCGGUCCGGCCGGGAACUCAAAGGAGACUGCCAGUGAUAAACUGGAGGAAGGUGGGGAUGACGUCAAGUCAUCAUGGCCCUUACGACCAGGGCUACACACGUGCUACAAUGGCAUAUACAAAGAGAAGCGACCUCGCGAGAGCAAGCGGACCUCAUAAAGUAUGUCGUAGUCCGGAUUGGAGUCUGCAACUCGACUCCAUGAAGUCGGAAUCGCUAGUAAUCGUAGAUCAGAAUGCUACGGUGAAUACGUUCCCGGGCCUUGUACACACCGCCCGUCACACCAUGGGAGUGGGUUGCAAAAGAAGUAGGUAGCUUAACCUUCGGGAGGGCGCUUACCACUUUGUGAUUCAUGACUGGGGUGAAGUCGUAACAAGGUAACCGUAGGGGAACCUGCGGUUGGAUCACCUCCUUACCUUAAAGAA
This 1550-nucleotide ribosomal RNA is filed under the name Klebsiella pneumoniae. RNAcentral describes it as "bacterial SSU rRNA". It matches the Rfam family "Bacterial small subunit ribosomal RNA". Lineage: Bacteria; Pseudomonadati; Pseudomonadota; Gammaproteobacteria; Enterobacterales; Enterobacteriaceae. The record is from RNAcentral.